GUACAGGCUUUGGUCCACAGAGACAACAAUACUUUCAAUACUCUUUUGUUCUGCCCCAGAGGAGCUCAACACAGAAUUGCCUAGAACAAGAAACUGGGGCCCUCUAGGGUUCUCAGGCCGUCAGGUUCACUAAACCCGUCUGGGGUUUCUACACACGACCUGAAGGCAUCUCCGCCCUUUGGCGGCAGAUAGAGGAAUAGAAACGACUGAGGAGACAUGAAGCAGGGAGGAAAAGCUGGAUGAGAGGAAGCACAGGGAGUGGAAGGCAACGUCCAGGAGUUCUCCUGCCUCAGCCUCGCGAGUAGCUGGGACGACAGGCGCCGCCACCAGGCUUAGCUGUCAAAUUAGCUAUUUUUAAGGAUUGUACAUGGCGAUCAUCAGCAGUAUGAAGAGGAGCUGUGGGGCCAGGGAGAGAAGCUGCAGCCUGUUGAGACUCCACAAGACUGAAGAUAUGAAAAGAGGAAAUAUGCAUGAAUGCCCGCACGGAGAACCACCCCCACCUGCUGCUCCCGCUCUAAUGAUCACGCCCAUUAUCAACUGGGGGAUGGCUCUGUGCCUUGUCCUUGCAUUACAUGGACCAAGAACACUUCACAGGACUCAGAGAGGCAAAAAUAGAUACAAAAGAAGAAGGAAUUACAGAAGAAGUCACAUAACAUUAUUGCCUACAAAUAGACAUCUGGGCAAGUCAACAGGAAGGUGGAUAUCCAAAUCUCUCUCUUCGCAAUGAGUUUCCAGUUAGAUGGAGGAGAGAGUAAUAAAACACAGAGCUGAGAUUCCUGACUUCACAGAUCCCUGAGGAGAUGUUUACUAAAGGGAAUCUUCUGGUCACUGUUACCUUCCUCCGUACUUACCUGCCUCAUGGAGAACACUGAAGAAUGCAGUUUACUUACAUCUUUUUCUGUUUGACAGAAGACAGUUAUUAGUUACCCUUGGGACAUCAAAAUGACCAAGGCAGUGUCUGCUAAGUAUUUGCUGAGACUCUGCUAUGAUUCUUUCAAGUCUAAAGACAGUUAUCUGAAUGAUAUCCCCGUGACAGUGGACUCCUGCACAUUCACAGUCCUGGAAGGAGCCUGUCCACAUUGGCAUUCUGGAAGUCCAUAAAAGACAAACGCAUAUGCAGUCCCCGAGAAAGCAUUGUUGUAAACAAAUCUGCACUAGAUGGAAACUCUGUUAUGUGGUGCCGGCAUGCAUGGAAGAGAACCCGAAAGGAAGAAGCUAUACGACUGGGGACACAUGUCUUAGAAGCACACUCAUUAGAUAAAGUGUCGCAUACUCUUUGAUAAGGAACUCCAGGCUGUCACCCAUCUGUUCUCUCAUCAAAGUAGUUUUGGGCCAGCAACUAUUUCAGACAUUUCUACAGUUUCAGAUGUCUCACUCUGCCUAUGACUGUAUGUUGUACUUGAGGACUGGACGCACAGGGUAAAGUGCAAAUAGCAAGCAUUCAGGUCCAACUCUCCUCCUUCUGGUUAACAAUAUGACAACCCUUACAAGAUUUUUGCCCAGCGAAAGUGGCACGUGGAACAUGGAAUGACAUUUCAUAAAGAUAAAUCCAGAGAUUAGUGCUGAAGACUACACCCCUGUGUAGUCCCACACAGGCUACCCCAGACCAGCCUGGCGGGCUCUGCACUAGGCCUCCCAUCAGGCGAGAGCCAACGCUCCUCAGCCCGGCUCCACCUCAUUCAGAAGAAAGUGUGUCUCCCGGCCUCACAUUGCGCUGAAUGCAAGGAUACCGAGAUAAACCAGGCUUUCCUUCGCUCAGAGUACAGUUGCAGACUUGGUAAUGACUGAGCCAAGCCAGACUGACUGUGAUAAGAUAAUAAAUUAACUACCAGUCAGGAGCUAAGUCAGCAGAUGUGCGAACAUUUUAGAGGUAACAUCAUAAACUAGAACAGAGGAGCUCUUGGGAAGAAAAAGGGCUUGGAAAUUAUACCUGGAAAGAUACCGCUAAUAAUGAUCAAGAAGAAAAAACAAAUCCAGUUUGGAAGUGAGCAAUCAUUUAUGAUGUAAAAUAUUUCUUAGAAAUGGAAUCUAGAUAAUGCUUGGAAUAUGCUUUAAACUACCUAUAUUUAAUUUGUUUUUCUUGUGAUUUUUGUAUUGUUUGGUGUAAAAUAAUCUUAAUCUUUCCAGGUGGUGUCUAAUUAAGGCACAUUUACUGAUAUGAGUCAUUUUCUAAAUAUACUUUAUCUAAGAAAAUUUAAAAUUUUUGGAUCAACUAAAAACUCUCUCAAUUAUUUUAGAGUUAACUCUUCCAAAUUCUAAAAUGUAUUCAUAAAUUAUAUACAACUAUUUUAAUGGUCACUGUGGGCCCAACUUCUGUAUAUAAAUUUACCUUCUUAUUUUACAGGUGCUAAUGUUUAAAGAUACUUAAAUAUGCCAAUUUCUUUCCUCUAUGUAGAAGUUUGAAAUACAUUCUAUGCCCUGAGAGAACCCUUUGAAAUUUGAACACAUAGAGUAUUGUUAUGUGCUUUCAAAACUUUGUGUUGUAUAGGACCCUCUUUUAGCUGAAUAUUUUUCAAGCAGUAAGCCUGUCCUGCAUCGCACAUGUACUGGGACACCCAUGGACAAAAUCAUAAGACUCUGUCUUCCUGACAGAUUUCCCUCCUCUCCUGGGGAAUUCUCUAAUGAUGUCACUCUUUUUUUGUGCCCUGUAUGGUUUUUUUUUUUCAGUUUCUUCUGUGUGAUGCACGUGAUGCUGUUACACUGCAGGGUAGCGUUUUUAAAAAAUCUGAUUUACAGUUUGUCCUACUAUUAUAUAUUUUGCUUAUAAAAACCUUGUGUUUUUUCAAAAAUUCCUAACAGACUUAUUUAGGUCUAACUGACCUAAAAUAAACCACACAUGGUACAGUGUACAGUUUGAUGGGCUUCGACAUAAGCACAUAUAAUGGGUUGAAUUAUGUCCCUCACGAGAUAUGUUAAAGUCCUAAACCCUGUUUCUCAUUUGCGAAUAGGGCCUUUAUUUGGAAAUAGGGUCAUUGCAGGUAUAAUUAGCUAAGAUGAGGUUGUAGUGGAGUGGAGUGGGCCCUUAAUCCCCUUAAUCCUAAAUGAGGGGUGUCAUCAUAAGAAAGACACUGGCAAACAGAUACAGACACAGAGGGAAGAACGCCACAUGACAAGGAGGCAGGGGGUGGAGUGAUGCUGCCACACGUCAAGAAGAACCUGCGGCCACCAGAGUUAGAAGAGGCAAGAAAGGAUUCUCUCGUGGAGGCCUCGGACUGGCAUCGCCUUGCCAACAACGCUGAUGGUGGGCUUCCAGCCUCCAGAAUUGUAAGGCAAUAAAUUCAUGUUGUUUUAAGCCAGACUCAGAACACCCGUGUCCUUCCCAACAUUGGAUGCAAUGCUAAAGACAUGAUGUUGCUCCUGCUGGACCACACCUUGAAGGAAUUGCCUACCCCACCUCACCUCCAAAAUUAAAGUCUUUCGUUUUGACAAAAGUUAAUUGCCUGUAAGAGAUUGGGAGCCGAGGGCCUGAGGGUGAAGCCUCGUUUGUGCAGGUGACUGUGGGACUCUGGUGUAAGUAACGCUGGGCCCACCCUGGUAAUGAAGGAAGACCCAGGCCCAGGCAGGGGCGGUGUCACAGGCACAGGGGCUCGCACCCUGGGCACUGACGGUGGCUGUCGCACCAGGGCCGCUCCUUGCAGAAACCUCACUGAGCCUGUGCCUGUUGAGUAGCUUCAUGAGGAGCGGAUAUCAGGCAGAGAAAGCCCGGGCAAGAGAGUGACACACGGGGCUUCUGCCCAGAACACGUGCGCCCACAAUCCCGGGAGCUGU
Molecule: long non-coding RNA, 3768 nt
Filed under: Homo sapiens (human)
Lineage: Eukaryota; Metazoa; Chordata; Mammalia; Primates; Hominidae
Description: long non-coding RNA NONHSAT199554.1
Source: RNAcentral